UAAAAGGGAAUUCCCCCUAAGUAACGGCGAGUGAAGCGGGAAGAGCUCAAAUUUGAAAUCUGGUGGCCUCAGGUCAUCCGAGUUGUAAUCUAUAGAAGUGUUUUCCGUGCUGGCUCAUGUACAAGUCCCUUGGAACAGGGCGUCAUAGAGGGUGAGAAUCCCGUCCUUGACAUGAACUACCAGUGCUCUGUGAUACAUUUUCAACGAGUCGAGUUGUUUGGGAAUGCAGCUCAAAAUGGGUGGUAAAUUCCAUCUAAAGCUAAAUAUUGGCGAGAGACCGAUAGCGAACAAGUACCGUGAGGGAAAGAUGAAAAGCACUUUGGAAAGAGAGUUAAACAGUAUGUGAAAUUGUUGAAAGGGAAACGAUUGAAGUCAGUCGUGCUCUUUGGAUUCAGCCGGUUCUGCCGGUGUACUUCCUUUGAGUGGGGUCAACAUCAGUUUUGAUCGCUGGAUAAAGGCUGGAGGAACGUAGUACCCUCGGGUAAACUUAUAGCCUCCUGUCACAUACAGUGGUUGGGACUGAGGAACGCAGCACGCCUUUAUGGCCGGGAUUCGUCCACGUACGUGCUUAGGAUGUUGACAUAAUGGCUUUAAACGACCCGUCUUGAAACACGGACCA
RNAcentral lists this ribosomal RNA (619 nucleotides) under Filobasidium magnum. Its description in RNAcentral is "eukaryotic LSU rRNA". It matches the Rfam family "Eukaryotic large subunit ribosomal RNA", at positions 66 to 668 of the family's 3401-position model. Lineage: Eukaryota; Fungi; Basidiomycota; Tremellomycetes; Filobasidiales; Filobasidiaceae. The record is from RNAcentral.